Molecule: ribosomal RNA, 253 nt
Filed under: uncultured bacterium
Lineage: Bacteria
Description: partial 16S ribosomal RNA
Rfam family: Bacterial small subunit ribosomal RNA
Source: RNAcentral
UACGGAGGGUGCGAGCGUUAAUCGGAAUUACUGGGCGUAAAGCGUGCGCAGGCGGUUUUGUAAGACAGUGGUGAAAUCCCCGGGCUCAACCUGGGAACUGCCAUUGUGACUGCAAAGCUAGAGUGCGGCAGAGGGGGAUGGAAUUCCGCGUGUAGCAGUGAAAUGCGUAGAUAUGCGGAGGAACACCGAUGGCGAAGGCAAUCCCCUGGGCCUGCACUGACGCUCAUGCACGAAAGCGUGGGGAGCAAACAGG